Triticum aestivum (bread wheat) is the source of this 2345-nucleotide long non-coding RNA. RefSeq lists it as uncharacterized. The transcript has 8 exons. The record is from RefSeq and is a predicted model, not a curated record. NCBI's taxonomy places the organism in Eukaryota, Viridiplantae, Streptophyta, Magnoliopsida, Poales, Poaceae.
UGCAGCGCACCACGCGAGCACACCGUGCGAGGUAGAAAACGGCAUCGCGCCCCUCGCUCCUCCCUCCCUCGUCCGCCCCAAUCCCCUCCCCUCCAACCCUAGCCGCCCCGCUCCCCUCCCUCUCCACGGCGCCGCCGCCUCCUCCCCUUCUGCCCUGCUAUCCACCGUGCCGCCUCUUCCUCCUCUUCACUGCCCUCUCCAGCGGCGGCAAAGAACGGCGGCGCUCGAUCCGAUCUGCUGAAGAGAAAAGAUGAGAGAGGAAGAGAGACAAGGAAGGAGAGGAGGGAGAAAGAUCUCCCUCAUCGUCCUCGUCGCCAUCUGCCACUCCUCUGCCGUGCCCAGACCGCGGGAAGAAGCCGAGAAGGGAGGCCGGCCGGCGGCGGCCACGCUCGACAAGAUCCUCGCAUUAGCCUCAAGGGAGAGGAGGUCUACGUCCCCCGUCCGUGUGAAGGGCGCGAACCAGGGCAGUGAAGGCGCAGGGCGCGAACGAGAGGAGAAGGUUGAGCAUCCCGCCGACGACAUCGUUUCGAGCUCAAGAUGGUCUACAGAUACAUGCAACAAUUGAGGUUUCAUGUGCAAGGAAGCAAAGAAGAUGCGAGACCGUUUUUCUUUUGGAAUAGAAGAAUCAAAGGAUACACCGACCGAGUCAGUCUGAACUUCGAUUAAAUAUGAUAUGCGUGUUUACAAAUCUUUCCUUCAUGAAUAUUUUGAAACCUUCACAUUAUGCUGAUAUGUAUUUUCUGGCAGAGCAGUCUUCAACAUUGACGGUUACCAUUUUUAUUUUUUAUCUCAGCUCAUGAGAUUUCUCUACUGUCCUGACACAAAUUUACUCUAUAUGAUGAAUCCAAGGCUCAGUAUAAGGAUUUCCUGAUUUAUUAUUUGCCGCAUCUGGUGUUUCUCAUCUUAGCAUGAAUUUGAAGUGUCACCUUUUGCAUCCAAUUAAAGGUUAGAAGACAUGCCAAAUAAUGGAUACUUCUCAAUCAAAUGAACAAACAUGCUAUCCGCCGAGCUUCAAGACUGAAGGGAUAGAUAACCACAACUUCUAAUGACCUAUACCAGCGAUUGAUUGUAGCAUACUGGAUUCCUAAUGCUGACAGGAAUAGCCGCCAUGGCGAUAUUUACAGGCUGUGCACUGAGAUCGAAUAGUCUACAUCAUGCCUCUGGUCGGAACAAAUAAAAAAAAUUGUGGGCUGGACUGAAGUAUCGAAACACACUUGGGAUUUCUGUUUCCUGUAACAUUUUAUUUGGGGAGUUUGUGACUUCUAGACCUGAAUGGUUGUGCAUGGACCAGAAUAUGAAUGAAGGAUACUUUAGUAACAUUUAUGUAGAGGGCCAAUGAUGUGUGCAAGGACGGAAAGAGGCAGUCGAUCAACGCUGAAGACGUCUUCAAGGCGCUCGAUGAGAUCGAGUUCCCAGAGUUUGUAGAUCCCCUGAGGACUGCACUGUUAGGAGGUUUGGUAGGUUUGAGCAUCUGACUUAUAAUCUAGGUUGAUGGUGUUUGGCAUUAUUGGUUCAAUCCACGUGGAGGUCCUCGCCAUCAUUGCAGCUGCGGGACAAGAAGGCAAGGAGUUUGUGCGCCUGGCUUACCUCUGUACAAAAUAAACUGCAGAUACAAAAAAUGAAAAAGCAGAGCACUGUUAUUUCUCCAUACUCUGCAUCCCCAUCUGAGUCACUCUCUCUAGAAGCAGGAAUGAUUAUACUUCAACCGACCAUGCUCAGCCUAGAAUAACACCACAACAUACAGUAGUAGUUAAGCAACAAAACCUAAGCACUUCCCGUCAUUGUUUGCUUUCUCAUGUUUUUGUUUGCUUCAUUGUGUUCCUAUUUACUUGCAUAUAGAAGUGAGCAAAGUCGAAGUGUUUUGGGUGUUACAAAAGAUUGUGAAUAUUUUGCCUUUAUAGCUCUUUUUUUUAUUGACUCAGUUUUUAUGUAAUUUCAAAGCACUUCAGAUGUGUUAGGCUGCAGCAAGAGGCUGGAACAGAUCUUUGUGCUAUGACGAGUGUUUGCUUCAGUCAAUCCAAAAUACCUCUAAAACUACAGUUUCAUUUGUUUGUCCGGUGUACAUGAGAAGCUCCAAUUUUGUCGGGAAUAGCCACUGGAGAAAGUAGUGAUUGGGUUUAUAUGGGAUAGUUAUGUAUGUCCAUUGUGUGAUGGGAAAUACAAUGCAGUAGUUAAUUGUCACAUGGCUUCUCAAUAGUGGCUUCUCAGUAAAAAUGUUAUAUGAUGUAUGAUAGCCAUGAGUAUGAUGAUUUUUUGGAUGGGCGGUAAGCUUCCCAUGUUUGAUGUUUUUUUUACUUUUUAAAAUUGAACGAUGCUGGUGAGAAUAGUACUGUGGUGUACACUUC